Molecule: long non-coding RNA, 1130 nt
Organism: Pyrus x bretschneideri (Chinese white pear)
Lineage: Eukaryota; Viridiplantae; Streptophyta; Magnoliopsida; Rosales; Rosaceae
Exons: 3
Source: RefSeq, a predicted model, not a curated record
UCAUAUUCCCCUCCGCGUAAAAUAAAAUAAAAAAUAAAAAAUAAAAGCAGUGUUCCGAAAGCAGUUAGCUAUUCCGGCUUGGGAUUUCGAUGAAGGUUCUGAAACCUAGGGUUUCAAUCCGUCCGUACAAGAAAUCCUACGCGACUAGAGUAGUAGUCGUAGUCACAGUCACAGUCGUCGUUGUCUUCUUCUUCGUCUGGGUUUCGUUGCAAUGAGCGCCAUUAACAUCACCAACGUGACGGUGCUCGACAAUCCGGCUCUGUUUCUGGCACCCUUCCAGUUCGAAAUUUCUUACGAGUGCAACACUCCUCUCAAAGACGCUUUGAUCGACGGAAAAUUAUUUAACCACCAAGUAGCACCAACUUGAAGCAUUGACUUGUUCCAGGUAGGAAUAUGGACUCAUUGAGGACAACAGACUGAUUUGGAAUGGAAGCUCAUCUACAUGGGAUCUGCUGAGGAUGAGACUUAUGACCAACGCAAAUACGUUCACAAGACAAUCUAGCCAACCUCUUCACCAAAUCAUUACUGAAGACGACGUUUCAGAAGCUUGUUCAUGGAAUUGGUAUGCGUAAACUUUCUAAGUUGGAACAUUACUAUUUCUAUCUGGAAUCGUGUCAAACUUAGGGGGAGUAUCCUGAAGUAUAUUUGCUUGAUCUUAAUGUGCUCUUUUUCCCUGAGAUUAGGAGCAUUUUUCCCACUGUGUUUUUGCUACCUAACAAGGUUUUAACGAGGCACCCACCUUAGACUGGUCAUAUCCCUAAUGACGUCCCGUAGACGUUUCUUUUGACUUUGCAUUACUCAUGCAUUUUUCCUUAGACUAUGGAUUUUGUCCCUACUCGGGUUUUUGCCAUAACCUUAGGGUUUUUUUGUGAGACUUACUUCCUUAUGCAAGUUCCUACCUCAUUGAGAAUAGGAUGUUCCCAGAAUCAGUGUCGACGACUUGAUUUCUUCAACUUCUACAUGAUGUUGAAUCUACCUUAAGUAUUAACACACUCAAGGAGGAGUGUUGUAAACUUCCUAUUAAAGUGUGAUUGUGUAAAUCUUAGAUUAUAUUUUAUUCUAGUUAUCCUUUCCUAUUACAACUUGUAUUCCUUGGGGAUGAAGGAUUCUUUCCCCUUUACUACUAUAAA